GUGGCGAACGGGUGAGUAACACGUGAGCAAUCUGCCCCUGACUCUGGGAUAACAGUUGGAAACAGCUGCUAAUACCGGAUAUGAGACGUGACCGCAUGGUCGACGUUUGGAAAGAAUUUCGGUCAGGGAUGAGCUCGCGGCCUAUCAGCUUGUUGGUGAGGUAAUGGCUCACCAAGGCGUCGACGGGUAGCCGGCCUGAGAGGGUGACCGGCCACACUGGGACUGAGACACGGCCCAGACUCCUACGGGAGGCAGCAGUGGGGAAUAUUGCACAAUGGGCGAAAGCCUGAUGCAGCAACGCCGCGUGAGGGACGACGGCCUUCGGGUUGUAAACCUCUUUUAGCAGGGAAGAAGCGAAAGUGACGGUACCUGCAGAAAAAGCGCCGGCUAACUACGUGCCAGCAGCCGCGGUAAUACGUAGGGCGCAAGCGUUAUCCGGAAUUAUUGGGCGUAAAGAGCUCGUAGGCGGUUUGUCGCGUCUGCUGUGAAAACUGGAGGCUCAACCUCCAGCCUGCAGUGGGUACGGGCAGACUAGAGUGCGGUAGGGGAGAUUGGAAUUCCUGGUGUAGCGGUGGAAUGCGCAGAUAUCAGGAGGAACACCGAUGGCGAAGGCAGAUCUCUGGGCCGUAACUGACGCUGAGGAGCGAAAGGGUGGGGAGCAAACAGGCUUAGAUACCCUGGUA
Molecule: ribosomal RNA, 683 nt
Filed under: Microbacterium sp.
Lineage: Bacteria; Bacillati; Actinomycetota; Actinomycetes; Micrococcales; Microbacteriaceae
Description: bacterial SSU rRNA
Rfam family: Bacterial small subunit ribosomal RNA
Source: RNAcentral